This is a non-coding RNA of Pogona vitticeps (central bearded dragon), 282 nucleotides long. The record is from RefSeq and is a predicted model, not a curated record. NCBI's taxonomy places the organism in Eukaryota, Metazoa, Chordata, Lepidosauria, Squamata, Agamidae.
CAAGCAACGGGAGCUCACUCCGUCGCGUGGAUUCGAUCUGCUUUGGAGAUGAUGGCGGACAAGGAAAACCAAAUGCCUGAAAUGAGACAAAAUGAUGCGGGGAGACCCAACCCCAGAAAGAGUUACAUGAGUACAGAGUCUGAGAGUGAGGAUAUGCACCCGUAGACUUACAAUGUCUUGAAGACCCUGACAGUGUCUGGCAUAAUAUGGAAGUCUUGUUUGAUACCGAGGAACCUUCUGUGGAGCCAGAGCCAACACACAAGCCAGUGGCCAUCCUCUGGA